AAUAAGACUAAUAAUCGCCCGCAGCUUCAAACUGAGUCUUCAAACCCGUGUCACUGAAAGGGGAGGAGACUUUGGGGUGAGAACAAACCACACGUUCUCAGUAGAGAAUGGAAAUACCGUAAAAAAAAAAAAAAGAGUAAAU
This is a non-coding RNA of Arachis ipaensis, 142 nucleotides long. The record is from RefSeq and is a predicted model, not a curated record. NCBI's taxonomy places the organism in Eukaryota, Viridiplantae, Streptophyta, Magnoliopsida, Fabales, Fabaceae.